AUUGAACGCUGGCGGCAUGCCUUACACAUGCAAGUCGAACGGCAGCACGGGUGCUUGCACCUGGUGGCGAGUGGCGAACGGGUGAGUAAUACAUCGGAACGUACCUUAUCGUGGGGGAUAACGCAGCGAAAGUUGCGCUAAUACCGCAUACGCCCUGAGGGGGAAAGCGGGGGACCGUAAGGCCUCGCGCGAUUAGAGCGGCCGAUGUCUGAUUAGCUUGUUGGUGAGGUAAAAGCUCACCAAGGCGAUGAUCAGUAGCUGGUCUGAGAGGACGAUCAGCCACACUGGGACUGAGACACGGCCCAGACUCCUACGGGAGGCAGCAGUGGGGAAUUUUGGACAAUAGGGGCAACUCUGAUCCAGCAAUGCCGCGUGAGUGAAGAAGGCCUUCGGGUUGUAAAGCUCUUUUGUCAGGGAAGAAACAGCAGCUCUAACACAGUCUGCGAAUGACGGUACCUGAAGAAUAAGCACCGGCUAACUACGUGCCAGCAGCCGCAGUAA
Molecule: ribosomal RNA, 501 nt
Filed under: uncultured bacterium
Lineage: Bacteria
Description: partial 16S ribosomal RNA
Rfam family: Bacterial small subunit ribosomal RNA
Source: RNAcentral